RNAcentral lists this long non-coding RNA (2117 nucleotides) under Marmota monax (woodchuck). The record is from RNAcentral. Lineage: Eukaryota; Metazoa; Chordata; Mammalia; Rodentia; Sciuridae.
GAGAGGCCAAAGACAAUCCCUCUGCUCUUUGACGAAGAGGACACACGGCCCAGAGGGGCGCAAGAGCCCUGCACCUGGGUGAGUGCGAACCCAGUGAGGGGGGAGGCCGCCUAGCCCCACGCAGGGGCCUGGGCGUGCAGGAGCCCGCAUUGAGUGCGCCUGCCCAUGGCCACAGAGCCGCUGGCGGCCUGUGAGAGACCGUGUGGAGGCCGCUCUCUGGCCCUCACGUGUGAGGGAGGACUGGACGGUUCCUGGCUCUUGCACUGCCAGCUGUGGCCCUGCCUCGGCACCAACACCAGGUGGAGGGUUGGACGCUCACUGCUGUUGUGGGGGGCUGGAGUCCUGUGCCCUGGUGCCACCCAUGGGGAAAGGCCUCUCUGCUCCAUCCCUGGAAAUCCAGACACAUGUCUUGACUUAUAUCCUGAGAGAUAAGAACUGGUGUGGGGUGGGAAAAGGAAAUGGCUUAGACACAUCUGCCCCGUAGACAGGAGACUGCCUGCCCGUGGGUGGCUCUGCCCUUGAGCUUCAGGUCCUGCAGAGUGGUGGGAGCCUGCAGCACCCGUGCCAGGCCAGGGGAGGUGCCCGCUGUGCACUCCUCUCACACACACCUCCGUGGCUUCUUCCCCCCCGUAGAAGUGACGAGGACAAAUAGCUCCAGGUCCCUGAAACUGGAAACUGUCACUCAUUCCUCUGAAAACAACUUGCGAUCUCUCAUGUGAGGUGUGUGAGAGAGCACGGUGUUCUGUGUGUGCCUGUGCACCUGGAGACCGGGCACGCGCCUGCUGAGGGGGGCUGGCUGUAGGCAGCGUCAGAAACAAGCAGACCCUGGCUUCAGGACGCAGAGAAGACCCCACACUUGGCUGAGGCCUGUGGAAUCCCCUGCCGGCGCUGGUUGGGUUUCCCGGCCAGGAGAUUCCUAGCCCUUGAUCAGAGUCCCCAGAGGCUGGCCCGAGGGCACAGGGUUUCCAGCAGGUCUCCACUGUGGUCUGGCCUGGUCCCCAGACGCCUGGCUAGGCCCGUGCACCUGGCAGCUCACAGCCUGAUUGGGAGCCAAGCUGUAUUCCUUAGCUCUCCGCGUCCUUCUGGAAUGGGUGGGUCCAGGAGAAGAUGCUUUGACUGAAAACCAGGAGGCCUUCUGCAGGCCUGCUUUUGGAUUGUGUACCUCUUUGAUUUUGAGAGGAGGUCAGUGGCCAUGAACCCACAAUUAAGCAAAACUAUUAGAAAAGGGGACAUAAUGGAGGCCCCCCUUCCUCCACCUGCAGAGACAGCGUCGUUAAUAAUACUGUGACUGUUGCCUAAUGGAGGGGGGUUUGCAUGGCCUUCCUAGUGGAUGCAGCUGGGCAGCCGCAGGCUCUUUGCUGUCUGGUUUUAACUUGCUCUGUGUGUGUGUCUGUGUGUGUGUGUGUGUGUGCACGCGCGCGAGCAUGCACACAUGUGUACACUUUCUUUUUGAGACUAAAAUUCACUGCAGGACUAUGCCCGCUUGCCCCGGCCUCGGUGCCUUGCUUGACUGGAUUCCAGCCUGUCCUGAGCAGACUGCAGCCUCUGCCUUGCCUCUCCUCGGGCACCCAGGCUCUCGGCCUCUGCACGUGGAACUCUGGGUCUGAGCCCCAGCUCUGCUGCAAACGUGGUAUCACGGCACUUUGUGAGGGCAGAGCCUCUGCUCCUCUGGACUCUGUCCAGCUGUGCCGCUGCUCUCCGUGGGAACUGUGACAGCAGGCCCUGCCCUGUCCUGCCCUGCAGGAGUGGACACUGACAAGGUGUGCACAGUAGCACCUUGCAUCUCUCCCUUUCUGUCCUUGGCGGCAUGCUAGACCAAGGGGGCAGUAGUAGCCAAGGCUCAGGCCAGCAGCAGAGCUGUGGAGGAGGGGCCCUGGGGCUCUGGGGCUCCUUUCAUCUUAUCUGCAGGCCUCUCUGUCCAGCCACGGCCCAGGUUUAUGAGUCCUCCUGUCCCUAGGGCUUCUUGUGGCUCUAGGUCUCCUGAGGAGUAGACACGGAGGAGCUCUGCACCAGGGCAGCUCAGGGAAGAGGCUGGGUCAUCACUUCUGCUGGUUCAGCCUUCCUGGGAGAGAUUUCUCCUAAAGAAGGAAUCGGAGUCUGAGGGUGGAGAGAGAAAG